AUAAGUAGUCCGUUUCUCGCAGAAUUGCCUCAAGGAUUCAGUACUGAAUCCUUAACGUCCCCAACAGAGCUCUGGAAGAUCGGAGGAGCAGAGCAGGCUGGGAGAAGGCACAGUGACUGCACGCCUUUGAAUUAACCUUCACUUCCCAAAGCCGAGCUGCGCCUGUGGUUCCUCCAUCCUGAGACUCGGAACACUGCGCGUACCGGUCCUCAUUCUGCUCCCCCCGCCACGCGUGCCAGUCCUGAGUCGCCUCGCUUCCCGUCCCAUCCCUCCCUCCUGCUCAGGCCAGUCCUCCCGGUUGUCCGCUCCCGCGGUCCCCAGCCGUGCGUCCCUCCGGGGCAAAGUGAGGGCCAGCCUCUUCCCGGCCUCCGGCGCCCAGCGAGGGCUCCUGCGUCGUGUGUCUGUUGGGGGCUGGGAGCGUGCAACCCGUCCCCACCCCGCCCCCAGCCUCUGGAAAACUGCCGGCUCCAGCCGUCCUGCGCCUCCAACCGAGCCCGCGCCAGGCCGGGCGGCCCCGGGGCGGGGCAGUGCGGCCAGAGCCCCGUCUCCCGCUCCGGCCCCCGCGGACGCCAGGAAGGACAGCGCGGACACGACAGCGGGAGGGCGGGCGGCGCGCAACAAAGGCCGGGAGGCCGGCGCGGAGGGCACCUCCCGGGCGGCCGAGUGGCAGGGAGGGCGCACCCGCGGGGAGCCAGCCGCCUGUGCGACCUGCCCGGACCCGCGGGAUCGCCCCGCCCGGCCGUCCCGACUUGCAGGCGACACGCGCGUCGGAGCAGAGUAGCCUGGCGGGGAGGGCGCGGGGCGGUUGCCUGCGAACAGUCGCCUCCAGGUCGCUGACACGCGACAAAUUUCGGUCCCCCUUCCCAGGGAACCUGGUGCCGGCCGCACUCCGCCUUGGAGAUGAGCUCUCGCCCCCCGCCGGCCCCUCCGCCACCGAGGAGAGGCGCCCUGAAAAAAAAAGGUUCUAGCAGGCGACGGUGGGAGGGAGGUUGGCCAGGGACCGCCCUUCCCUCCCAGAUCCCCCCACCCCCGGCUUCCGCUAGCGACUUCUGACCUUGCGCCCCACCCCCACCUGUCACCCUAAGGAUAUUGACAUGUCUGAGGCCCAAGUUGGAGCCACUUUCUGUUCUGUGUAGUCCCCAAAUCUGAUGGCUUCUGUGGAGAGAGCUCUGGACACAGAAUACCAAUAAACUGCCCUGGGGGGUGGGGGGAUGGGGGAAGGUCAUAGGUUAGGUACAGGAAAAAGCCACCUUUGCGCAGGCUGUUAUCUUCUGUGCCUGAACGUCCUUUUCUUCAUCCUUCCUGUAAGUUCCUACUCACGUUACAAAACCCUGCGUGGGUGUCCCUUGUCGGUAAGCUCCCUCCCCCCAGCUGAUCACUCAGGCUGUCUACCCCAGAGGCCAGGUGCCAGGCUCUCCUGCCGCACACACCAGGCCACGUGGGCAUGUUUGUGUCUCCCUGAGACUAUGGCAGCUUGAGCCUGUCUUUCUCAUCUCCAGGGGAUCCUUGCCUGUCAAAGGGCCUGGCUCCUAGUUACUCCACUAGGUUCUAAGCAGGCGCUUUCUGACAGUCCUGUGGGUGACACAGGGCUGACCUGGUUAGCAGCUCCCCAGACAGAGCAGAUGGGGACGUCAGGCAGGUGUCUGGAGGAACCAAAGUCCCCACCCACCUACACGAGUCAGGGCCCCUGGCCUCACGUUACUCAGGAAGAAGUGCAGGUCUAGUUCACACAGUCCAGAGUGUCUACUCCCCCCUGUCAAGCCUUUUUCGGCGGGGGGGUGGGGGGGGAGGUGGGAGAUGUCACAGCUGGAAGAGUGGCCUUGAGUCAGAGAGGCCAGGUCUGAAUGUCCUGUCACUGUUGCUCAACUCAGCUCUCCAUCUGUGUAAAGGCAGAUGAUACACAGGGCAUAAAUGGCAGGUCUGUUUUUAAGGACUAAAUAAGAUGUGUCAAGAGCCUGGCCCUGGCCCUGGGAGGUAACAAAAGCAGAUGCCCAGUAUUGCUUAGAGACCUUUCCCAGUCCUGUCCUGGCCAGAGCCCCCUACUUUCCCUUCCUUCCCAGCUGGAGCUGGGAAGGCACGUUGUCCUCACCAUACAGAGAAAACAGAGGUGCCUUUGCUCCCAUAAGUUUUUUUCAAUAUGAAAUUUCCCAAGUUUCAUGAGCUCAAGGCCAGGAAUUGGGGGUACAGGAGCUGCCAGGGUUUUCCCCAUGACUACUUCCUGUCCUGCCAUGGGGCCAUUUCCAAGCUUUGGGGGCCCCAGGUUGGUCUCUGAGAUGUUCCAGCACCCUCUUCACACCGUGAAGGCCCAAACACUUGUUCCACUGGCCCCUCUGCUCACCUGCUGGAGCCACCCCUCCUCAUUCCCAUCCCAGGUGGCUCAGUCUCCCCAUCCUGCAGCGCUCUGGGGCUCUGGGAGCACACCCCCUAGCCUCCAGGGGGCAGUAAAGAGGGAGUUUUAACUGGCUCCUGCAGGUAAGGCCUGGACCCAGGAGAACAUUCACUAUACAUUCCACAGGAUUGCCAGUCCCCUCCCCGCCAUCACCUUUCCCUCAGGCCACAUGUACCCUUCAGUGACCUUGCCCAGUGAAAGCUGCUAUGAACACUCAUUUUAACUAAGGCUGUGUGUUUUAUCAAGUUCUAAAACAGUACUGAACUGCUCACUGCACCCCUCACCCCAGCAUCACCCACCGGAGGCCCCUAGCUCCAUUCUUUCCCCUGUUCAUAAGCGCACCUUGCCCCAGGCUCCUCUCUCAGCCAGAGGACUGUCCCUGGAGGCUUCUGCAUCCACCCUGGCUGUCACCCCAACCCUGGGGGACUACCCUAGCCUUCCCUCUGGCAUGCUCAAUACAGUUCACUUCUGUCCCUGUGUCCUCCCUCCCUCUGCCCCCAAUUCAGGCCCCUGCUCUUGGCCACUCAAGGUCAAGUGAACAUCCAGCCCAGAAUUUAGCGACUUGGAGUGAGAGAAGCUUCAGCUUUGCUUUUUAAUAAUUUAAGACUGACACACGGCCAUCCAUUCCCAGACAGUCCCAACCCUUUGGGCCUAGAGCAGGGAAGCAACCUGGUGAGACAGCCCAUCCCCCUGCCUGUACCCUGUCAUUGCACUUCCUGCUGACCCACCCACAGCUGCCACCGGGGAGUCUGGGCAGAGAGCUUGUGGCUGGGGACAGCCUGGCACCAGCCACAGCCAUGCCCACACUCUACAGGAGAAGGAAGACAGGCCCUCACCGCCAGCUCCAGUGUUGCCUUGGGCAGAGGCAGAGGGCAGGCUGGUGGGGGCGGGGCUGGCCAGUCCUACUGGCCAUGGCUGCUCUUCCUGGAAAUUCGUCUGUUUUUUUUUUUUUCCCUUCAACUUUAUAUAUCACAAAAAUUUCCCAGAAACUCUUAAUAUUCUGGCUACCAGAUAACAUCUCCCAGAUGUUCUCACACCAGACCACAUGUUCCAAUGUUUGGCUUGGAAUAUAUGGCCAAGGGCUGUAAGGCUGUCACUCCAGGACACUUUGCCCAUUUCCAGAAAAAGAACAAAGGUGUUCAAUGGGAUGUGGAAGGAAUGAGACUUUAAAGGCAGGCUCAAGGCCAAUAUGGCCAAGAACUUUCUUUGGUUCUGGAGUGCGGAAGGCUGGGGGAGCCCUUGACAGAGAGUGGGACAGGACUUGGGGGUGAAGAGGUGGUCAGGGGCCAACCCCAGUACCUGCCGCCUCUCUCUCCUCUUGCCAACAAAGGUAAGGAAAGAGGCUGACCCCGCUUCUUGCACUGACGGAGAUCCAGGUCUUUUUUCCCCAGUUCCACGUAAAUUAACAUCCUUAAAACACAUAAGCAGGCUCCUGCCCUCACGUAUGGUGGUCAAUCACAGACGCCCUGCCACAGGGGUUACAUGCCACUGUCAUCUGUCUUUGGUCCACAAAGCAGCUUUGUGCAGUGCAUUUCCAUUCCUCCUAGGCCAAUUCAGGGCUUCUGCGGGAGUGACUGUGCGGGGCGGGAGCACCGCUGGGUCACCGAGGGAUGGGCCUCUGCCUCAGCACACGGAUUGACAAGCUGUCUGCGUGGGCCAGGAGCUCCUUGAUAUGAGCCAAGCCCAGCCCUGCAACUUUGGCCCCAUUUACCUCGAGGAUCUCAUCCCCUACCCCCAGCAGCCCUGAGUACAGCUUGGCCAUGCUCGAAUCAGCUAUCUCCUGCACGUAGAACCCUGCAAAAGAAAACAGAACAAUUUAACAGGUGAAAUCCAAGGACACGCAGCUCUGUGGAACGCUGACCAGGUGGGUGCUGGUGAGCGUGGGGUGGGGAAGCAGGUGCUCACAGGGCACUUCUCCAUGCACACACAUACACACACCCUCAUUAUUCUGCCUCAUAACCACAAGGCUUUCUACAUAGAUACAGUAUGCCUGCCCUCCUGGUAUAAUUUCAUUUUUCUGUCUCCUCUUUUAAAAUGCCCUUUAAGCUGUUAUUAUUUGUGUGUACCCCAGUGUGAAUGAACUAACCUUAUCUUUUUCUGGGAUGAGCUUUGAUUGUAGAAUAAGGAGGAAACUGAUGUUCGAAAAUUAAGAAAAAGACCUACUAUGUGCCUGGUACUGUGCUAGGUAGGAUUCAUAAAUACGAUCAAGUUGCUGUCUUCAAGUAGCUGGAGUGGUAGGAAGGCUCACUGGAGUAAUGAACGUGGCUGAGGUCAAAUGCAAAUCUGGUUUGCUUCCUAUUAUUGUCUAGGACUAGCACUAGCCUCAAUCUUCCUUGGAUGUGGUGGCUCACUUG
RNAcentral lists this long non-coding RNA (4743 nucleotides) under Lynx pardinus (Iberian lynx). Lineage: Eukaryota; Metazoa; Chordata; Mammalia; Carnivora; Felidae. The record is from RNAcentral.